RNAcentral lists this ribosomal RNA (498 nucleotides) under uncultured bacterium. RNAcentral describes it as "partial 16S ribosomal RNA". It matches the Rfam family "Bacterial small subunit ribosomal RNA", at positions 29 to 523 of the family's 1533-position model. The record is from RNAcentral.
AUUGAACGCUGGCGGCAUGCCUUACACAUGCAAGUCGAACGGUAACGCGGGGCAACCUGGCGACGAGUGGCGAACGGGUGAGUAACGCAUCGGAACGUGCCUAGUAGUGGGGGAUAGCCCGGCGAAAGCCGGAUUAAUACCGCAUACCACCUGAGGGUAAAAGCGGGGGACCGCAAGGCCUCGCGCUAUUGGAGCGGCCGAUGUCAGAUUAGGUAGUUGGUGGGGUAAAAGCCCACCAAGCCUGCGAUCUGUAGCUGGUCUGAGAGGACGACCAGCCACACUGGGACUGAGACACGGCCCAGACUCCUACGGGAGGCAGCAGUGGGGAAUUUUGGACAAUGGGCGCAAGCCUGAUCCAGCCAUGCCGCGUGCGGGAAGAAGGCCUUCGGGUUGUAAACCGCUUUUGUCAGGGAAGAAAUAUGCCGGGCCAAUACCCUGGUGGGAUGACGGUACCUGAAGAAUAAGCACCGGCUAACUACGUGCCAGCAGCCGCAGUAA